AGUCACUCUGGAAAAAUGAAAGCAGUGAGUCCUGCCCACUCUCCUGGCAGCAGAAAUGGCCCUGCUGUUCCACUUACAAAUACUGGCCAAUUCACCAUGGCCCUACCUCAGGUUCCGUCAGAUGGCAGGUGUCUGUGGUGGGAGGAGGCAAGGUCUGGAGGGCCAGAAGCCCGCUCUGAAACCAGAUGGGGAGGACCUAAGAGGAGUGUGGCCAGCGAGAAGAGGAGGCUGCUGACGGAGCGUCACUGACUUGAGGAGGAGGAGGAGGAGACUCAUCUGUCCCUGUGUUCUCCAAGUGCUUACAGGUGCCUUCCGAUGAGUGAUGGGACUCGUGGGCGAGACAGCUCAGCUCCAGAGAAGCAACUCGGCAGAGCCUCCGAGGGGAGGGAGGAGCCUCAGGGGGAGCUGCGCCCACUGAAGAGGGGAAGAGGGCUCCGAGGGAUCAAAUGAGAGGGAGGUGCUCAGUGACUGAGAGUAGGAGAGGCUCCUGCUGGGGGUGGGGGUGGGGAUGACCCAGUCACCCGGAGAAUGCUCACCGAGGGCAAGAAGAACCUCUGAGGGCAGGCGAGGGACCUGCAAAGGAAGCUGAAAUUUAGUGGGUGCAAAGGUGCGAAGGAGACUCGCAGUGGGGGAAGGGAGGCUUAGCGCAUGAAGAUCCUGGGAGCCAGAGGGGUUCGGUAAGGAUGAGGGAGGCUUAGGGGUUCCCAGGUUGCUCCCAGCAAGGAUGAAUGCCCUCGAAAUGGUGACAUCCCUUUGAAGAGUUUCCUCUGUGUCAUCAACCUGAGUCUUCUCAGCGCAGAACCUCCCCGCCACACACACACAUCUUCAUCAGGGUGGAGAUUGACAGGUGUUUUGUCAGAAUCAGGCAGGUCACUGCUCCUGACUCCUAAGGAUGAAUGAAGGGGAGUAAGACCACUUACCUCCACUUCUACUGUUGAUUAGAUCCAGAGAACCAGUUAGAUCUGGUUCAAACCCCUCACAUACUGUCCUUCCAGGUAAACUUGGACACUAAUUUCUCUGAGUGGGAGGAGAUUCUCAAUAAAUAUUUACUGGGGGCUGAGGUAAAGCUCAGUGGUCAAGUGUGUGUUCAGCAUGCACAAGGUCCUGGGUUCAAUCCCCAGCACCACAUAAAUAAAUAAAUGAAUGGAUGAACUGGAUGAAUGUUCUCUAGAUCAGCAUCCUUUUCUUCCUAAUGAAAACCCGGAGCCCCCCAAAGUUGCCUCUCAUCUCCCUGUUAUUGCCCCCAAAUAAUUCCUGUUCCUAUCUUUUUGGCAUUUCUCACAAUGUAUGUAUUUGUUUAGUUUUAUGGGGUUUUCCUCUCUUUUUUGGUACCAGGGCUUGAACCUGGGGCACUUAACCACUGAGCCACAUCCCCAGCCCUUAUUAUUUUUGAGGAAGGAUCUCACUAAGUUGCUGAGACUGGCUUUGCACUUGAGAUUCUCCUACCUAAGCCUCCCAAGCUGCUGGAAUUACAGGCAUGUGCCACCACACCUGGCUUAUUGUUUAGUUUUUAAUAAUCUUCCCCUAGACUGGUUUUGUUUAUCAUUAGAAUACUCUGGCUCUCAAUAGAGGGCAUUCAAUAUUUUUUAAAAAAAUAUUUAUUUUUUAGUUAUAGAUGGAUACACAAUAUCUUUAUUUCCUUUCUUUUUUUUUUAAUGUGGUUCUGAGGAUCGAACCCAGUGCCUCACCAUGCUAGGCGUGCACUCUACCACUGAGCCAUAACCCCAGCCCUCAAUAAUUUUCCCCCCAGUACUAGGGAUGAAAUCCUGGGUCUUAUGCAGGAUCAGAAAGAGCACUAAUACUGAGAUACACUCCCAACCCAAUAAAAAAUGUGAUUGAAUUAGGAAAUAAUGCAAGGAUGGAACUUGCUGAGAAUGAAGAGUUCUCUUUCUCCAUCCAUUCAUUUAUUCAUUCUUCCACUCAUUCAACAACUUGUUCAUUACCUCCUCUGCUGGGCUACCUGCUGAGUGGCACAGCACUGAUCAGAUGAGCCCUAUCUUCUGUGAGUCCAGCGGGCACACAGACAGGUGACUGUAGCUGGGUGAGAUUCCUACUGGAUGCGGGAGGCUGAGGGAACAGCACUAAGGCCAACUGAGUGGGGAGAGAACACAGAGGGUUUCCUCUAAGAAGUGGCAUUUCGACUGAGACCUGAAGGAUGAGUCAAAGAGAGUGAUGCAGAGAUGGUGGGGGAACAGGGAGGGAGAUUCAGGAUGCAAACAACACGUGCAAAGGACCAGGGGUGAGAGAGGUUUGGCAUCUGACAGUUUUCUUGCCACCUCUGCCUUAACUGACCUGAGCUCUACAGCCCCAGGUAUGAACAGUGGACACCUCCACAUCCUUCCUCCUCUUGUCUUUUUCCAUCUUCUCUUCAGAGUCCACAGUCAACCACCUACCUGUCAGUGCAGUCAUCCUGGAAAACACAACACUUAGAAUGAGGGAAUGCAUUUCUAAACUAUGAUGAAUAGUAUGUUUUUUCUGAUCUUUAUAAAAAGUAUACAUUCUUUACAUGGAAAAUAUUAUAAAUAAAUAAAUAAACAAUCAAGAGAGGAAAGGGACCUGAAAGAAGACACUUGUGUUUGAAUCACACCAAGGACUUUUGUCCUUUCCCAGCUGUGCAACCCGAAGAAAAGAACUUUUUUUCUGAACUUCACAGUUCUCAUCUAAGAAAUGGAACUGCUAUUGCCUCUGGCAUAGACAAAGACAGAUUAAAGACUUUGCCCAAGAUCUCCCAAAUCAGUCAUGUCUACUGACUCAAAACCUGUGCUCUGAGUCUGAGGCUCUGGAAUAGAAGAGGCAGCCCAGGCCAGACUCCCAAGGCCUGUCCAAUAGGUACCCAGUCCCUCCCUGAGGACAGUCAGGAGCAAGAGAGGUUUGCAGAGGGAAUGACCAGUGUCAGAUGGCCCCAGUCAGAUCCCCUCCAUUGCUGAGAGUUGGAUGGGGUGGGGGUCAAGGCCUGAGGAGUCUACUUUCAGGCCAGCCUAGAAGAUUCGAGGCUUCAGCUGAGAUCCAACCCCUCCCUUUCAGUAUCUUCCUGGCAACCUGGCCUGGCAUCCUCUAUGAUGUGAUCUCAGUUUAAUAAUUUAGUAGAUGCUGACAAAGAUAGCAUGGGUCUGAAAAUAACCCAGCCAGGCCCCAGCCUGCAUCUCCCCUUCCCCCAGCAAAUGACCCUGCUCUCUCCCUAAAGUCUCUAGUUACCCUGCACGCCUGUCAGUUCCCUUCCCUGCCGGUGGACACCUGAGUGGACACCUCCACAUCCUUCCUCCUCUUAUCUUUUCCCAUCUUCUCUUCAUUUCCUCUUUUUCUCCAUUCUUCCACUUUUAAAUCAAUUAGGGCUUAAAGAAGCCAGUAGACUUGGGUUUAAUUCCCUGUUUGGGCAUAAGCAAGUCUCUUCCCCUCUCCCAGCCUCUGUUCCUGCAUAAGAGGCCUCUAGAUUCCUAAAUGUUGUGUGUGGGUUGCUGAAGGGUGGGAGGUGGGGGUGGGGGGGUUCCGUGGACAGGAGACUGGAUGUCUCCCCAGGAAGGCACAACUACAGUGGCAAUAUCAUCUCAGCCAAGAGCACUCCAAGCCAGUCUGCUGCUCCAUGCAGAAAGCUCGGGCUUUCUUUGUUUUUAAUCUCUCCUGUGAUGAAAAUUUUGCCCUAGUUUUUAUUCUGGGAAUAAAAGGCUGUGACUUGUGUUCACAAUGGAGGUAGCAGAUGCCAUGUGCUUUUGAGGCUUCAUCUCAUUUAUGACAAGUAGAAAUUAUUCUCUUUACCCCUUGAAAUCUUGCUCAAAUUAUCCUACUUUUAGGGUCUCCAGUUUCUUGUGUUUGUUUGCUUUAAGAAAAACAAUUUUAUUAGGAAGACAAAAAUUAUUGUAUUCUUAAUUUGAACAGGUAGGUUAUAUAAGAAAGGAUCUGAUAGCCUGCGAGACUUGGACCCCAUUUUUUUUCUUUUGGUACUGGGAAUUAAACUGGGGCGUAUUAGCACUGAGCUACACACCCAGCCUUUUCUAUUUUUUAUUUUGAAACAGAGUCUUGCUAAGUUGCCCAGGCUGGCCUGGAAUUUCUGAUCCUCCUGCCUCCAGGGUCGUUGGGAUUACAGACAUGAACCGACACUCCUGACUUAGAUCCCAUUUAUAUGCACCUUGGUUUUUUCCUCAGACCUCUGACUUCAGCCUGGAGUUGAGCGAAGACAUGGCUUACUUUCCUUCAAAUCAUUCCUGGGCUGCAGACGAGAUGAUGGAUCUUUGAAUCAAUAAGUAGGUUACUGGCAAUAGUGCCCCUUAAUGCUGGAGAAUUUUCAGUGGUAUAUAGGAAUAAGCUGCUUCUGAAUCAGAAAGUCACUAAUUAGCAAAGUAUCCAAAACAGUAAAAUCUAUUCUAGCUACUAUUGUUACUGGAAAGAAUAAGAAAAGCUAAGCAAACGCUAGCCAUAGGCAUUUACAGAACCUGGUAUGGAACUAGCUCCCAGUUAUCCAAGUAGGUUCAAUGAUACUGGCUCAGAGGCUAGCCCUGGGGGUAAGAUGGGAAAGAUGUUUGCUCCUCAUUGUUACUUGUUUGUUUAUGUUGUUGUUGUUUUUUGGUUUGUUUCUAGUGCUGGGGAAAUACCUACCACUGAAUCUCACCAAGAUUUCAGUUUUCACAUCUUGAAAAUAGCCAGGUGGGGGCUGGGGAUAUAGCUCAGUUGGUAGAGUGCUUGCCUUGCAUGCAUAAGGCCCUGGGUUCAAUCCCCAGCAAAAGAAACAGAAGAAAAGGAAACAGCUAGAUGUUUAAAGGGCUAGUAGGACUACAGGGCUGAGAUGGUGUGUUUUCAUGCAUUCAUUCAACAAUCCAAUUAAGCACCUGCUAUAAUACCAGCCACUAUGAAAGAUGCUAGGGGCAUAGUAAUAAAUACAAAAAGUAUAAUAUCUGUUCCCACAUCUCAGAAAUCAAAAUAAUUAAAUCCCAAGAGAUGAGCCAUGAAAGAAUAACCAAGUCUCUGGUAACAUCUACUUAGUGCCAGGUACCAAUACUGUGAGGUACUAUUUAUAGCCUAUUUUACAGAUGAGGAAACUGAAGGAUAGAGUGGUGAGUGAUCAAGGUCACAUGGUCAAGAAGUGGUGGGACUAUGCCUAGAAUUCAAUGUCCAGGGAAUCUGUCUCUUGAGUGCUUCCCUAGAAAUCACCAACAAGGAAGAAACUAGUGACAGGAUAGAAAAGGGGUUCAGGAAGGGCUUCUCCUUAAAGAUGACAUUUAAGCUAAGACCUGAAACAUAAACAGGAAUCAGAAAUGUGAAACUGGGGAGAGAGAGUUCCCGACGGAAAAAAACAGCAGUGCAAAGGCCCUGAGACAGAAAUGUCAGUGUGUUCGGUGACUGGUGAGCCUGCAGGAAAAUGAACUCAGAGAUGUAACUAGGUCUGAAGGCUGGGGAGAGGAUUUCAGAUUUUACUCUCUAUGCAGGGAGAGUCUUUGAAGGAUUUAUGUUGGGGAUCAACAUGAUCUGAUUUGUUUCUAAAAGAUCAUGCUGUUUUAUGUGUAGAGAAUGCAAAGAAGGGAGUGAAAAGGAGUAGGAGGGAAAUGAUGGGGCCCACUUAGGAGAUUAUUGUAAUAAUCCAUCUGACAGAGGACAAUCCCAGGAGUAUUGGCUAGGAGUGGGCGGGGAUGGAUUUGAGUUUUAUUUGGAUGAACGAGAAGACUUGUGGAUGGAUUAGUGUCAGGGUGAGGGAAUGUCCUCUGGGUUUGUGGAUGAGGCAGCAGGAUGGAUUUUGAUGCCCUUGACUGAGAAAAGGAGGAACAGAUUUGAUGGAGAAAUCAAGGUCAAGACUUUUUCCCUUAUGUGAUAAUUACUUUAUUCCAAAAAUAAGAACAAAAGGGUUUGCAGUAAUAGCCUAUUACAUGUUUUUUUCUUUGGUGGGAUGAGUGCUGAGGAUGGAACCCAGGGCCUCCUUUGUGCUAAGCACACAGUAUACCAUUGAACUACAUCCACAGUCCCAUCUUCCUUUUUAAAAAAAAAAAAACUAAGAAAUACCUAGUAGGGGGUAAAGAUUCAGCUUUAAAGUUAGAAAUGAUACCAGGAGCAAUGGCACAUGCCUGUAAUCUCAGAGACUUGGGAGGCUGAGGCAGGAGGAUAGCAAAUUUGAGGCCAUUCUCAGAAAUUUACUGAGGCUCUAAGCAACUUAGAAAGACCCUAUCUCAAAAUAAAAAAUAAAAAGGGUCGGGAAUGUGGUUCAGUGCUUAGGCACCUCUGGGUUCAAUCCCUGGUCCCCAAAAACAACAACAACAAGAAAUUGAAUAUAGACUUAUAAAAUUGUGCUCACUAUGGAUCAGUCUAAUAUGGAAAGGCAAAACUCAACAACAAGAAAAACGAUAUGAAGAGGAAAAUGUGUGUGUGUGUGUGUGUGUAUUUCUGGUAAAGAUAUACACAGAGGGGAUAGAUAAACAUUUGGAAAAAACUUUGUUUUGGACAUCCAAGUUGGAUAGCCAUGAUAAACAGGCAGGUGUUUAGAUGUUUCUGGAAGUCAGCAGUAGAGAGUCUGGGCUGGAGAUUUAAUUCAGGGAGUCAUCAAAGUCUAGUUGGCACUUUUUUUUUUUUUUUUUUUUUUUUUUGCUGCUCAGGAUUGAACCCAGGGGUAUUUACCACUAAGCUACAUCCCCAGUCCUUUAUUUUUUUAAUCUUUUAUUCUAAUUUGUUAUAUAUGACAACAGAAUGCAUUAUAAUUCAUAUUACACAUAUAGAACACAAUUUUCAUAUCUCCGGUGGUAUAAAAAGUAUAUUCACACCAUUCGUGUCUUUAUACAUGUAUUCAGGGUAAUGGUAUCUAUCUCAUUCCACCAUCUUUUUUACCCUCAUGCCUUCUCCCUUCCCCUCCCACCCCAUUGCCCUAUCUAGAGUUCGUCUAUUCCUCCCAUGCUCCCCCUCCAAACUCCACUACGAAUAUAAGAGAAAACAUUCAGCAUUUGGUUUUUUGGGAUUAGCUAACUUCAUUUAGCAUUAUCUUCUCCAACUCCAUCCAUUUACCUGCAAAUGCCAUGAUUUUAUUUUCUUUUAUUGCUGAGUGAUAUUCCAUUGUGUAUAUAUACCACAUUUUCUUUAUCCAUUUGUCUACUGAAGGGCACCUAGGUGGGUUCCACAGUUUAGCUAUUGUGAAUUGUGCUGCUAUAAACAUGGAUGUGGCUGCGUCCCUGUAGGAUGCUGUUUUUAAGUUCUUUGGGUGUAGACUGAGGACAGGGAUAGCUGGGUUAAAUGGUGGUUCCAUUCCCAGCUUUCCAAGGAAUCUCUGAAUUGUUUUCCAUAUUAGCUGCACCAAUUUGCAGUCCCACCAGCAGUGUACGAGUGUGCCUAUAUUUUUUAUUUUGAGACAGGGUCUUGCUAAAUUGCUGAGGCUUGUCUCAAAUUUGCGAUUCUCCUGCUUGAGCCUCCAAAGUCACAGGGAUUAUAAGCAGGCACCACAACACCCAGCUCUAGAUGGUACUUAAACCAUAACAGGAUGAAUGACCUUGGGAGAAAAAUGUAGUGAUGGCCAGGAACAAGCAAAAAAUCCUGAGCAGGAGGAGGUAAUAAAGGAGGAACACAGAAAAGUGACUAAGAGCCCCUUUGUGUGCCCACAGGAAUGACCCAGCAGAGAGAGGACUACAGAUGCCUUCAGGUGGAAGAUUGUUUUGCUUUGUUUUUGUUGUUAUUGUUGGGGUUUUUUGUUUUGUUUUGUUUUGUUUUUGAGACAGGCUUUUGCUAAAUUGCCCAGGCUGGGCUAGAACUCAAGAUCCUCCUGCCUCAGGCUCCAGAGUAGCUGGGAGUAACUGGGACUACAGGCAUAUGUCACCAUGCCUGGCAUGGGAGAUUCUUAGAGUGCCUGGCUCUCUAACAAAUUCAUUCCUGCCAUGGCCUUUAUUAAGCACUUACUGCGUGGCAAAUACUGUUCCAAGUUCUGGGAAUAUGGGAGUGAUCAAGAAAGACUAAGCUCCUCUCAAUCCAGAAGAAGAGAGAGAGGCCAUAGCGAACCCAAACAAGAAUCUUGCAUGCUAUGAAGGAAGAAAACAGUGUACUGAGCACUGUGAUACACACCGAUAAUCCCAGACACUCGCAAGGCUGAGGCAGAGGAUCUCAAGUUCAAGGACAGCCUCAGCAAUUUAGCAAGGCCCUAAGCUACUUAGUGAGAUGCUUUCUCAAAAUAAAAAAUAAAAAGGGCUGGAGAUGUGGCUCAGUGGUUAAGCGCCCCUGGGUUCAAUUCCUGGUACUAAAAAGGAAAGAGAGAACAGUGAAGUGUGGUGACCAACCAAGGACACCUACACUAGACAGGGAGGUCAUCAACGGUGGAGUGGGUAUCUGGGGUUCUUGUGUUCCCAUCAUGCAUUUGUCUCAUUUUGUGGGGGCGAGUACCAAGGAUUGAACUCAGAGGCACUCGACCACUGAGCCACAUCCCCAGCCCUGUUUUGUAUUUUAUUUAGAGACAGGGUCUCACUUUGAACUUGCAAUUCUCCUGUCUCAGCUUCCCAAACUGCUGGGAUUACAGAGGUGCGCCACCACACACAGUUCCCAAUUUAUCUCACUUUUGAUAAGAGUAUCUUUGUAUUUUGGGGGGAACCACUGCUCCUCUAUAUUCAUAUUUUGUGGGGUUGACCCCACCCCAUCUCCAGGACCAGGCUUGGCACCCUGGCCCUGCCAAUGACACUACACUAAUAUAUUUACUGGAAAUAAUGAGAAAGGGAACUCUUCUUCACUUAGGUGUUGUUGGCUGAACAGAUUUUAAACUCAGGCUGCAGGUACUACCUUCUAGCCACAAGGGAAGUGAGUACCUGAGGAUGAGCCUACCUGACAGGAAAGCCCAGAAACAAAGAGAAACCUGAUGAGUGGUCAGAUCUCUAGAGCACCUAAUGCCAGCUGUACCUGAAGGUAGUUCUACCCUUGGAUUUUUCAGUUAGGUUAACCAAUAAAAUGUCUUAUAAUUGAACAGAUCCCAAUUGAUGGAGAAGACCAGAAGGAUGUCAAGGAACCAGGCUGGAAGCACUGGGAGGAGCCAUCUGGGUGGAAGGAAGAGGAAGUGCAAAGAGUCUGCAGAAGAGGGUUUGAAGCACUUAGGGAACAUGAAGUUGGCAAAUGAGGCAGGAAGACAUUGACCCGUGUUGGUGGAAUGAGAUGGGACAGAGUCGCAGGAAGAGAGUCCCAUUUCCACAAAUCAGCAGAAGAGGGAGGGGAAAUCCCAUAUAUAGCACUUUAAAAAUUAAUGGCUCUAUUAGAAAAUUAUCUUCUUAAUUUUUUUUUAAAUCUUUAUUUUAUUAUUAUUUGUUUAUCUUUAUGUGGUGCUGAGGAUCAAACCCAGUGCCUCGUGCAUGCUAGGCAAGCACCCUGCCACUGAGCUAUGCCCAAGCCCCAGAAAAUUACCUUUUGCAAGGUAUUGAUGAACCAACUAAAAAGUAAAAGGAAUAUGGACUCCAAGUAUAGCUCUGGGUAGCUUACCUAGCACCUGAAAGGCCCUGGGUAACAUCCCCAGCACCACAGAAAACAAGCAAAACGCUCUGGAUAUUUAAUGGAAUAUCCCAUUAAACAAGAAUGCUGGGCAUCCCAGAGACUCAGGAGGCUGAGGCAAGAGAGGUUUGAGGUCAGCCUCAGGAACUUAGUGAGACCCUGUCUCAAAAUAAAAUAAAGCCAGAGCCGGGCACAAUGGCGCACACUUGUAAUCCCAGUGGCUCAUGAGGCUGAGACAGGAGGAUCCCGAGUUCAAAGCCGGCCUCAGCAAAAGUGAGGCACCAACUAACUCAGUGAGACCCUGUCUCUAAAUGAAAUACAAAAUAGAGCUGGGGAUGUGGCUCAGUGGUCGAAUGCCCCUGAGUUCAAUACCCGUACCCACACUCCAAAAAAAAAAAUAAUAAUAAUAAAAAAGCCAAGUGUGGUGGCACAAGCCUGUAAUCCCCACAGCUCAGGGAGAAUUACUAGUUCAAAGCCAGCCUCAGCAACUUAGCAAGGCCUUAAGUAACUCAGUGAGACCCUAUCUCUAAUUAAAAUACAAAAAAGGGCUGGGGAUGUGGCUCAGUGAUUAAGCACCCCUGGAUUCACUCCCCAGUAUCAAAAAAAUAAAAGGGGUUGGGGAUGUAGCUCAGGGGCAAAGCGCCCCUGGGUUUAAUCCCCAGUACCAAACAAACAAGUGGUGGAUACCUGGAUAUUCAUUUUUAAAAUAUUUCUGCAAUUUAAAUGAUGCAUAUACAUUUAUAUACAUAUGUUUAUAUAUUAUUUCAUUUAUAUGUAUAAAUAAAUGUACACAU
RNAcentral lists this long non-coding RNA (10214 nucleotides) under Marmota monax (woodchuck). The stretch from base 4655 to 4712 matches the Rfam family "tRNA", at positions 8 to 63 of the family's 71-position model. Lineage: Eukaryota; Metazoa; Chordata; Mammalia; Rodentia; Sciuridae. The record is from RNAcentral.